RNAcentral lists this transfer RNA (73 nucleotides) under Ailuropoda melanoleuca (giant panda). It matches the Rfam family "tRNA". Rfam says of the family: Transfer RNA (tRNA) molecules are approximately 80 nucleotides in length. Their secondary structure includes four short double-helical elements and three loops (D, anti-codon, and T loops). Lineage: Eukaryota; Metazoa; Chordata; Mammalia; Carnivora; Ursidae. The record is from Rfam by way of RNAcentral.
GCCUGGCAGGCUCAGUCAGUAGAGCAGGCGACUCUCAAUCUCAGGGUUGUGAGUUCGAGUCCCACGUUGGGUG